UUUAAAUAGUUUAAGAAAAAUUUUGAUUUGUGGGGUCAAGGAUAUAUGUAUAUAUUUUAAAUAA
This 64-nucleotide transfer RNA is filed under the name Ptilodactylidae sp. 2 ACP-2013. RNAcentral's name for it is "tRNA-His". The record is from RNAcentral. Lineage: Eukaryota; Metazoa; Arthropoda; Insecta; Coleoptera; Ptilodactylidae.